GGCCCGUUGGUCAAGCGGUUAAGACACCGCCCUUUCACGGCGGUAACACGGGUUCGAAUCCCGGACGGGUCA
RNAcentral lists this transfer RNA (72 nucleotides) under Bacillus inaquosorum. RNAcentral's name for it is "tRNA-Glu". It matches the Rfam family "tRNA". From Rfam's summary of the family: Transfer RNA (tRNA) molecules are approximately 80 nucleotides in length. The record is from RNAcentral. Lineage: Bacteria; Bacillati; Bacillota; Bacilli; Caryophanales; Bacillaceae.